CCCUUAGAUGUUCUGGGCGGCCCGCGCACUACAUUGGCACUGGCAACAAGAUCCUAGAUCUGAUAUUUCGGGGUAUUCUACCAACUGGUGUCGUGACUGGGAUUAACCCCUGCAAUUAUUGGUUAUGAACGAGGAAUUCCUUGUAAUCACGGUUUAUCAACCCGUGUUGAAUGCGUCCCUGCCCUUUGUACACACCGCCCGUCGCUCCUACCGAUGAAUCGUCCGGUGAAGUUCAUGGAGUCGCGGCUGCUCCAGCUGUUUUCGAAGUGAAAUGGACCUCAUGAUUUAGAGGAAGGAGAAGUCGCANCA
This 309-nucleotide ribosomal RNA is filed under the name uncultured eukaryote. RNAcentral's name for it is "partial 18S ribosomal RNA". It matches the Rfam family "Eukaryotic small subunit ribosomal RNA", at positions 1470 to 1796 of the family's 1831-position model. The record is from RNAcentral.